GUGUCUGCGUUGCUUGACGCGCUUUCCCUUCGACCCCUCCGCUCGCGGCAACAGCGGGUGGAUUCAAUUCAACUUCACGCAACUGCGGGACUCUGGUGCAAGACUUUCUGAGGCAGGGCAGGCAUCCAGUCAUGGGCAAAGCCAAAAGACGGACGUCUCAGCAGGCCUCCAGCCCUGUCCAAGAAUCUCCAAGGAUAACCUGCGUGAUUAGGAGGAAAGACUCCGCCGCAUCGACAGCAGACAAAAGGAAUCCAGCUGUGACCAGAGCCAAAAGACAGCCGUGCCAACCAGCUCCAUCGAGCUCGGUCCAAGGUUCUCCUGGAACAAGCGGCGAGAAUAGGAGGCAAGGCUCCGGCGCAUUGAAAGCAGACGAAGGGUU
Rhipicephalus sanguineus (brown dog tick) is the source of this 379-nucleotide long non-coding RNA. RefSeq lists it as uncharacterized. The record is from RefSeq and is a predicted model, not a curated record. The transcript has 3 exons. Lineage: Eukaryota; Metazoa; Arthropoda; Arachnida; Ixodida; Ixodidae.